RNAcentral lists this small RNA (117 nucleotides) under Papio anubis (olive baboon). RNAcentral's name for it is "Metazoan signal recognition particle RNA (ENSPANG00000037637.1)". Lineage: Eukaryota; Metazoa; Chordata; Mammalia; Primates; Cercopithecidae. The record is from Rfam by way of RNAcentral.
GCCAGGCGUGGUGACUCAUGCCUGUAAUCCCAGCACUUUGGGAGGCCGAGGCGGGUGGAUCACCUGAGGUCAGGAGUUCAAGACCAGCCUGGCCAACAUGGUGAAACCCCGUCUCUA